RNAcentral lists this long non-coding RNA (454 nucleotides) under Manacus vitellinus (golden-collared manakin). RNAcentral describes it as "lncRNA (ENSMVIG00005013518.1)". The record is from RNAcentral. Lineage: Eukaryota; Metazoa; Chordata; Aves; Passeriformes; Pipridae.
AGGAUUUCUCUCCCGAAAUCCUGCGUGCCCUGGGCCAGGCUGCAGUGGGACUGUCUGUGUCCAGCAUCCAGAACAGCAUCAGUGAGCAGGACCUUGAAGCAGCUCUUCCUGCCCUGGGGGAAGUUCGUGGCUGGAGUGCUGAGCAGUCCAGUGCUAUUGUGGACAAACUGCUCCGCUCUGGCUAUCAGCUCCGGGAUGGGCAGAGCCUGGCACAGCUGGGCAGUUUGGUGGGAGGCCUCAACAGCAGCACGGUCUGGAGUCUGUCCCCAGAGGUGGUCCUGGAGGCCAUCAAGGUGCCUGAGUUUGCCCAGCAAAUGGAGCCCCUUCCCCCUGCUCUGAAAAGGACCUUUGUGGAAAAGAUUUCCUCCAGUGUUGCCCACCCUGCUGACCUGGUGAAACACAUCCCCAAUGCUCUGGCCAGUUACAUCCCCAAAUCCUUGCUUGUUUUUGGGGA